Molecule: ribosomal RNA, 253 nt
Filed under: uncultured bacterium
Lineage: Bacteria
Description: partial 16S ribosomal RNA
Rfam family: Bacterial small subunit ribosomal RNA
Source: RNAcentral
UACGAAGGGGACUAGCGUUGUUCGGAAUUACUGGGCGUAAAGCGCACGUAGGCGGAUUAGUAAGUCAGGGGUGAAAUCCCGGGGCUCAACCUCGGAACUGCCUUUGAUACUGCUGAUCUCGAGUCCGGAAGAGGUGAGUGGAAUUCCUAGUGUAGAGGUGAAAUUCGUAGAUAUUAGGAAGAACACCAGUGGCGAAGGCGGCUCACUGGUCCGGUACUGACGCUGAGGUGCGAAAGCGUGGGGAUCGAACAGG